CUAUACAUGCAGUCGAACGAGUUCUGAUUAUUGAAAGGUGCUUGCAUCUUGAUUUAAUUUUGAACGAGUGGCGGACGGGUGAGUAACACGUGGGUAACCUGCCCUUAAGUGGGGGAUAACAUUUGGAAACAGAUGCUAAUACCGCAUAAAUCCAAGAACCGCAUGGUUCUUGGCUGAAAGAUGGCGUAAGCUAUCGCUUUUGGAUGGACCCGCGGCGUAUUAGCUAGUUGGUGAGGUAACGGCUCACCAAGGCAAUGAUACGUAGCCGAACUGAGAGGUUGAUCGGCCACAUUGGGACUGAGACACGGCCCAAACUCCUACGGGAGGCAGCAGUAGGGAAUCUUCCACAAUGGACGCAAGUCUGAUGGAGCAACGCCGCGUGAGUGAAGAAGGCUUUCGGGUCGUAAAACUCUGUUGUUGGAGAAGAAUGGUCGGCAGAGUAACUGUUGUCGGCGUGACGGUAUCCAACCAGAAAGCCACGGCUAACUACGUGCCAGCAGCCGCGGUAAUACGUAGGUGGCAAGCGUUAUCCGGAUUUAUUGGGCGUAAAGCGAGCGCAGGCGGUUUUUUAAGUCUGAUGUGAAAGCCCUCGGCUUAACCGAGGAAGUGCAUCGGAAACUGGAAAACUUGAGUGCAGAAGAGGACAGUGGAACUCCAUGUGUAGCGGUGAAAUGCGUAGAUAUAUGGAAGAACACCAGUGGCGAAGGCGGCUGUCUGGUCUGUAACUGACGCUGAGGCUCGAAAGCAUGGGUAGCGAACAGGAUUAGAUACCCUGGUAGUCCAUGCCGUAAACGAUGAAUGCUAGGUGUUGGAGGGUUUCCGCCCUUCAGUGCCGCAGCUAACGCAUUAAGCAUUCCGCCUGGGGAGUACGACCGCAAGGUUGAAACUCAAAGGAAUUGACGGGGGCCCGCACAAGCGGUGGAGCAUGUGGUUUAAUUCGAAGCAACGCGAAGAACCUUACCAGGUCUUGACAUCUUUUGAUCACCUGAGAGAUCAGGUUUCCCCUUCGGGGGCAAAUGACAGGUGGUGCAUGGUUGUCGUCAGCUCGUGUCGUGAGAUGUUGGGUUAAGUCCCGCAACGAGCGCAACCCUUAUGACUAGUUGCCAGCAUUUAGUUGGGCACUCUA
This 1126-nucleotide ribosomal RNA is filed under the name Lacticaseibacillus rhamnosus. Its description in RNAcentral is "bacterial SSU rRNA". It matches the Rfam family "Bacterial small subunit ribosomal RNA", at positions 49 to 1142 of the family's 1533-position model. Lineage: Bacteria; Bacillati; Bacillota; Bacilli; Lactobacillales; Lactobacillaceae. The record is from RNAcentral.